This 661-nucleotide ribosomal RNA is filed under the name Streptococcus mutans. RNAcentral's name for it is "bacterial SSU rRNA". It matches the Rfam family "Bacterial small subunit ribosomal RNA", at positions 396 to 1048 of the family's 1533-position model. The record is from RNAcentral. Lineage: Bacteria; Bacillati; Bacillota; Bacilli; Lactobacillales; Streptococcaceae.
GCCGCGUGAGUGAAGAAGGUUUUCGGAUCGUAAAGCUCUGUUGUAAGUCAAGAACGUGUGUGAGAGUGGAAAGUUCACACAGUGACGGUAGCUUACCAGAAAGGGACGGCUAACUACGUGCCAGCAGCCGCGGUAAUACGUAGGUCCCGAGCGUUGUCCGGAUUUAUUGGGCGUAAAGGGAGCGCAGGCGGUCAGGAAAGUCUGGAGUAAAAGGCUAUGGCUCAACCAUAGUGUGCUCUGGAAACUGUCUGACUUGAGUGCAGAAGGGGAGAGUGGAAUUCCAUGUGUAGCGGUGAAAUGCGUAGAUAUAUGGAGGAACACCAGUGGCGAAAGCGGCUCUCUGGUCUGUCACUGACGCUGAGGCUCGAAAGCGUGGGUAGCGAACAGGAUUAGAUACCCUGGUAGUCCACGCCGUAAACGAUGAGUGCUAGGUGUUAGGCCCUUUCCGGGGCUUAGUGCCGGAGCUAACGCAAUAAGCACUCCGCCUGGGGAGUACGACCGCAAGGUUGAAACUCAAAGGAAUUGACGGGGGCCCGCACAAGCGGUGGAGCAUGUGGUUUAAUUCGAAGCAACGCGAAGAACCUUACCAGGUCUUGACAUCCCGAUGCUAUUCUUAGAGAUAGGAAGCUACUUCGGUACAUCGGAGACAGGUGGUGCAUGG